GCCAGCAUGGUGAAGUGGUUUAACAUUGGACUGUGACUCUGGAGAUUAGGGUUCGAACCCCUGCUCACC
Molecule: non-coding RNA, 69 nt
Organism: Phrynosoma platyrhinos (Desert horned lizard)
Lineage: Eukaryota; Metazoa; Chordata; Lepidosauria; Squamata; Phrynosomatidae
Source: the annotation of a GenBank genome assembly